GACAAAAUCAGUAUCCCGUGAACGCGCCCAAGCUCGUCAGAUCUCCGACACGAAAGCAGGAUUGAGCUUGGAUAGUGCUUGGAUGGGUGACCGCCAUAAAAAAACAGGCGUUAUAGGCU
RNAcentral lists this ribosomal RNA (119 nucleotides) under Petromyzon marinus (sea lamprey). Lineage: Eukaryota; Metazoa; Chordata; Hyperoartia; Petromyzontiformes; Petromyzontidae. The record is from RNAcentral.